RNAcentral lists this ribosomal RNA (373 nucleotides) under Hexapanopeus sp. n. ULLZ 12526. RNAcentral's name for it is "partial 12S small subunit ribosomal RNA". Lineage: Eukaryota; Metazoa; Arthropoda; Malacostraca; Decapoda; Panopeidae. The record is from RNAcentral.
UAUUAUACUAAUGAAUAUUAUAAAAUCUUAAUUAUUAGUAGAUAUUUUCUUUAAAUUUGAAGAAUUUGGCGGUAAUUUAGUCUUGUUAGAGGAACCUGUUUUUGAAUCGAUACACCACGUAAAAUCUUACUCACCUUAAAAUAAAAGUUUAUAUACCAUCAUUAGCGGAUAAUUUUAAAAAAAUUAAUUAUUGAAAUUUAAAAAAUGAAAGAUUGAUUUAAAUUAGAUCAAGGUGUAGCCCAUAGGUGAGUUAAAAUGGGUUACAAUAAAAUUUAUUUAGAACGGAGCAAGUAUAAGAAAGUUGAUUUUGUAGAAGGAGGAUUUAAUUGUAAUGUAGGUUUAAUAAGCCAAGAAGAUAUAAGCUCUAAAUUAU